RNAcentral lists this ribosomal RNA (273 nucleotides) under uncultured bacterium. RNAcentral describes it as "partial 16S ribosomal RNA". It matches the Rfam family "Bacterial small subunit ribosomal RNA", at positions 524 to 796 of the family's 1533-position model. The record is from RNAcentral.
UACGAAGGGUGCAAGCGUUAAUCGGAAUUACUGGGCGUAAAGCGCGCGUAGGUGGUUCAGCAAGUUGGAGGUGAAAUCCCCGGGCUCAACCUGGGAACUGCCUCCAAAACUACUGAGCUAGAGUACGGUAGAGGGUAGUGGAAUUUCCUGUGUAGCGGUGAAAUGCGUAGAUAUAGGAAGGAACACCAGUGGCGAAGGCGACUACCUGGACUGAUACUGACACUGAGGUGCGAAAGCGUGGGGAGCAAACAGGAUUAGAAACCCCCGUAGUCC